AAUGAGAAGGAAAUAGAUCUAGUAUUUGGAAUAAGUGGCUGAUCAGACCUUACCAUUCUUCUCAGGUUUAUGUCUUAAUUCCACCAGCCUGCUCUAAGGGUCUGAGUAAUAGAAACAUGUUAUUUUAGUAGUGGAGAGUGUUCAGAAAAUGUCUGCAACUUCUGCAGAACCAAAAGGAGCAAAACAGUAGGAGUUAAAGGAUGGUAUCAGGUUAAAUAAAGCCACCCUGAAUUGUGUAGCAUCACUAAAACUGGAAAAGAUUAAUGGCUCAAUUAAACAUGUAUUUAACUUGGCUUCAUGAUUAUAAUGUUAGUAGUCUUUGUUGCAAUGAUAAAGUAGAGAAAAUAUUUUUUAAAAAUGAAGUAUUCCAGAUAUGGAAAAAAUGGAAUGCAAUCUGAUACAGAUUGUGCUUAAAACUUUAUAAAGAACUUUGCUUGCUUUUGCUCUGCAAGCAAUGGAAAAAUAGUUUGAAGUGCAUUUUGUUGGACAUGUAGUAACAGUUUAAUCCUCACUGUAUACUUCAGACGCAAAAGUUAAUUAGAAAACUAAUUUAGUUAUUACAUUUCUCAGUGAAUCAGUUUCAUGAACUAAAACCAAAUUUGUUUUUAAUCGUGUUCAUGGCUUUGUGCAGUAAAUGGACUAUUGGUUAUCCUUAGUCCUUAUAGUGCUUGAAUUAUGAAGGAAGUUAGAAGAAAACUGAAAACGUCUGUUUUCAAGUUGCUUUGAGAUAGCAUGGUGACACCUUAAUGUAAUUGCAGGCUGUUUCCUAUCUGAAACCACAGCAUCCAUGUCUUGCAGACUUUCUUUGUGAAAUAAUGUGCUUUGGGAACCUGCUCAUGAGAGCCUUCGCACUGACAUAUUAGCUGUUCUGCAUGUGAUUUUUAAGUAACUUUUGAACUCUAACAUUAGACCAACAUACACAUAGUAAACCUAAGGUAUGACAGCUACUAAGUAAGCAGAUGUCUGAUAAUAUUCCUGAUCUAACUGACUAUAUCUACCUUAUUGUUUGUCUGUCUGUCUCAUCAUGCAAACUGAUCUAAGAGUGCCUCUAUACAUUGCAAGAUGCUGGUUAACUAUGGAACCUUGUGGUUUGUGGCGGGAAGGAUUUACUUGUGAAUUAAUACUUCGUCUAUGACUACUGCUAGAGAAACAUUGAACAGGAGGAUACUCUUCUCAAAUGUGGUCCUAUUGUUAACGGGGAGCUCAGUUUGACUGUGCAUUAUAAAACUUGUUUAUGGAAUGUCUUUAUAUAGUACUCUUUUGGUCCUGGCAGAUUCUAUAUGAAUCAAGUCCAAGGCAGAAAGCUUUAGUGCCGCUCCUCUACCUUGUGUUAGUAUCAUUCUGUUACUCAGCAAUGUUUGUUGAACUGUCUGCCAGCAAGAAUCUUUCUUGAUCUGGCAUGCAAGUAGUACAUGUUACUGGUCAGUGGCUCAGCAGGGACACCUCCUUACUCAAACAAAUAGUCUCUGGUAUUAUGUCAUUUCUGUGAUGCUACUUUCAUAUAUAAAUGAACACUAGAAAACCUUUAACUCAUUAAUGUUAGGUUGUAUUUUAUAACUGGUAAUCUCUGCUUCUCUUUGUAAGAUGAUUGUAGGGAGAUGCGCAGGAAUAUUGUGCACCAUGGAUCUAGUCCUCACUUUGUAUAACAACAGAGACCAAAGUCUAAGUUUGGGAGGAGUGACUACCCUUAUACAAUGCUUAUGCCACCAGGGAGAGGUCAUCUCUAGCCUCCAGAAAGAUCCUGUGGAUAAAAUGUGACAUUGUGUGGUCACGAACUGCUUGUUUUUUGUAAAGGGAAAUGAGAUGCUGCCAGUACGGUAACUGCUGAUGCUUUCCCAGGCUGCCACUGGGUGGUAGUAAGUGAGCAUAAUUUAAUACACUGUAUCUGUUGUUGAAGUUCCUAUAGGCUGUACUUGGCUUUUAUAUUGUUUAAAUUAAUAAUGAAAAUUCA
Dromaius novaehollandiae (emu) is the source of this 1951-nucleotide long non-coding RNA. RefSeq lists it as uncharacterized. The transcript has 2 exons. The record is from RefSeq and is a predicted model, not a curated record. Lineage: Eukaryota; Metazoa; Chordata; Aves; Casuariiformes; Dromaiidae.